GCCAGGCGUGGUGGUGCACGCCUGUGAUUGUAGCAACUUGGGAGGCUGAGGCAGGAAGAUCUUGAGUUCAAACCCAGCCUCAGCAAUUUACUGAGGCCCUAGGCCACUCAGUAAGGUCCUGUCUCUA
Molecule: small RNA, 127 nt
Filed under: Marmota monax (woodchuck)
Lineage: Eukaryota; Metazoa; Chordata; Mammalia; Rodentia; Sciuridae
Source: RNAcentral